UUAGGGUUUGAUCAUGGCUCAGAUUGAACGCUGGCGGCAGGCCUAACACAUGCAAGUCGAACGGUAGCACAGAGAGCUUGCUCUCGGGUGACGAGUGGCGGACGGGUGAGUAAUGUCUGGGAAACUGCCUGAUGGAGGGGGAUAACUACUGGAAACGGUAGCUAAUACCGCAUAACGUCGCAAGACCAAAGAGGGGGACCUUCGGGCCUCUUGCCAUCAGAUGUGCCCAGAUGGGAUUAGCUAGUAGGUGGGGUAACGGCUCACCUAGGCGACGAUCCCUAGCUGGUCUGAGAGGAUGACCAGCCACACUGGAACUGAGACACGGUCCAGACUCCUACGGGAGGCAGCAGUGGGGAAUAUUGCACAAUGGGCGCAAGCCUGAUGCAGCCAUGCCGCGUGUAUGAAGAAGGCCUUCGGGUUGUAAGGUACUUUCAGCGGGGAGGAAGGUGUUGUGGUUAAUAACCGCAGCAAUUGACGUUACCCGCAGAAGAAGCACCGGCUAACUCCGUGCCAGCAGCCGCGGUAAUACGGAGGGUGCAAGCGUUAAUCGGAAUUACUGGGCGUAAAGCGCACGCAGGCGGUCUGUCAAGUCGGAUGUGAAAUCCCCGGGCUCAACCUGGGAACUGCAUUCGAAACUGGCAGGCUAGAGUCUUGUAGAGGGGGGUAGAAUUCCAGGUGUAGCGGUGAAAUGCGUAGAGAUCUGGAGGAAUACCGGUGGCGAAGGCGGCCCCCUGGACAAAGACUGACGCUCAGGUGCGAAAGCGUGGGGAGCAAACAGGA
RNAcentral lists this ribosomal RNA (780 nucleotides) under uncultured bacterium. RNAcentral's name for it is "bacterial SSU rRNA". It matches the Rfam family "Bacterial small subunit ribosomal RNA", at positions 1 to 777 of the family's 1533-position model. The record is from RNAcentral.